This 66-nucleotide transfer RNA is filed under the name Filchnerella dingxiensis. RNAcentral describes it as "tRNA-Ala". The record is from RNAcentral. Lineage: Eukaryota; Metazoa; Arthropoda; Insecta; Orthoptera; Pamphagidae.
AGGGGUGUAGUUAAUCAUAACAUUUGGGUUGCAUCCAAAAAGUAUUGAGUAUAUCAAUCACCCUUA